This 127-nucleotide small RNA is filed under the name Marmota monax (woodchuck). Lineage: Eukaryota; Metazoa; Chordata; Mammalia; Rodentia; Sciuridae. The record is from RNAcentral.
GCAGGGUGUGGUGGCGCACGCCUGUAAUCCCAGUGGCUUGGGAGGCUGAGGCAGGAGGAUCAUGAGUUCAAAGCCAGCCUCAGCAACUUAGCGAGGCCCUAAAAAACUCAGCGAGACCCUGUCUCUA